CCUAGGGGCGGCUGCAGUGGGGAAUAUUGGACAAUGGGCGAAAGCCUGAUCCAGCCAUGCCGCGUGUGUGAAGAAGGCCUUCGGGUUGUAAAGCACUUUCAGUGGGGAAGAAAGCCUUGGGGCUAAUACCCUCGAGGAAGGACAUCACCCACAGAAGAAGCACCGGCUAACUCCGUGCCAGCAGCCGCGGUAAUACGGAGGGUGCGAGCGUUAAUCGGAAUUACUGGGCGUAAAGCGCGCGUAGGCGGUCUGAUAAGCCGGUUGUGAAAGCCCCGGGCUCAACCUGGGAACGGCAUCCGGAACUGUCAGGCUAGAGUGCAGGAGAGGAAGGUAGAAUUCCCGGUGUAGCGGUGAAAUGCGUAGAGAUCGGGAGGAAUACCAGUGGCGAAGGCGGCCUUCUGGACUGACACUGACGCUGAGGUGCGAAAGCGUGGGUAGCAAACAGGAUUAGAUACCCCGGUAGUC
This 465-nucleotide ribosomal RNA is filed under the name Vreelandella stevensii. RNAcentral's name for it is "partial 16S ribosomal RNA". It matches the Rfam family "Bacterial small subunit ribosomal RNA", at positions 338 to 795 of the family's 1533-position model. The record is from RNAcentral. Lineage: Bacteria; Pseudomonadati; Pseudomonadota; Gammaproteobacteria; Oceanospirillales; Halomonadaceae.